RNAcentral lists this long non-coding RNA (1816 nucleotides) under Heterocephalus glaber (naked mole-rat). Its description in RNAcentral is "lncRNA (ENSHGLG00000045448.1)". The record is from RNAcentral. Lineage: Eukaryota; Metazoa; Chordata; Mammalia; Rodentia; Bathyergidae.
GUCUUGUGCAAAGUGACUGCCUGUUUUCAGUUGCGUAUUUGCCAUGAGAUGCCCAGCUCUGCCCUGCCCAGUGAACCCAGUAACUGCAGAGCCAGCAAUAGGAGAAGCAAGCUUCGCUGGUGACAGGUGCAGGGUGCAGGGCCAUCACCCAGUCCCUCUCCAGGGGUAGCAGAUGUGACACACAUGGGGCGUCCAGGUCCAGGUCCAGCCCCAGCCAGGCAACACCAGGGCAGCCAUUAAUUCUUGCAGGACUCUUCUCUUGUCCACGGGACCCAGGCGGCCUGGCAUCCCUGUCCCGUGACCUGAAGGAAGCCUCCAUCUGGAGGCUGUGGCGGGGUUUGACGACCCCCGUUCCCCAUCCCCCUUGCUGGCUGCCAAGUCCACGGCUGGUCGGCUUCAAAGAAGGGGCAUGGUGGAGAAAAGCUGCUCACAUCAUGGCGACCAGGAAGCAGAGGCAGAAGAGAGGAGCCAGGAAGGGAGAUGAGCCCUCCCAGGCCAUUUGAGACCCCACCUGGCAGCAAGUCAGCUAUGAGCCCGUGACCCACACCUUCCAGAGGUCCCACCUAUGGUCACAUGAGGCUGUGGGGGAUAUCCAGAUAUAAACUACAGCAAACCACCAGUGUUUGCCUCCUUACACACUCUAGUAAGGGAAACACAAAACUUCAGGAUAUAAAACUAACACAUGAAGCAAUAGGUUCCUGCACACCAAUAAUCAGCCCACUGAGAAAGAAAUCAGAAAAACAGCUCCACUCAGUAGCUUCAAAAAAAUUUAAGUACCUAGGAACCUAACCAAGGAAGUUAGUGACCUCUACAAUGAAAACUACUGAAACUGAAGAAAAACAGAAAAAACUAGAAAGUGGAAAGAGACCCUCUGUUCAUGGAUGAGAAGAAAUAAUACUGUGAAAAUGGCUAUAUUACUAAAAGCAAUCUACAGAUUGAAUGAAGUUCCUAUUAAAAUACCAACAACAUUCUUUACAGAACAACAACAAAAAAAUCCUAAAGGCCAUAUCUAGAAUAAGAAUAGCCAAGCAGUCCUGAGCAAAAAGAGCAAAGCUGGAGGCCUCACAAGACAAGGCUCAGCUUACGUGGCAGAGCUGGAGUACCAAAGACACCACGGUACCAGCAGAAAGCAGACACAGAUCCACAGACUGCAGCGGAGGGCACAGAAACAAACCUGUGCGUCUGCUGCCAUCUGACUUCAGUCAGAGGGGCCAAAACCAGGCUGGAGAAAAGACAGCCUCCGUCACAGACAGUGCAGGGGAGACUGGACACCCAUGUAGAGAAGACUGAAAGAUCCCUGUCUCCCACCCUCUACUGAAGUCAAAUCAAAAUGGAUUAGAGACCCAGAUAUAAAACCCGAAACUUUGAAACUGCUGGGAGAGAACAGAGGAAACACUUGAAACCAUAGGCACAAAGACUUCCUGACUUGGCUCCAAUAGCCCCAGAAAUAAUAUCAAGAAUCAACAAAUGAGCCGCAUGUGGUGGUGCAUGCCUGUGAUCCGAGCACUCCAGAGGCUGAGGCAGGAGGAUCACAGAUGAAGCCACUCUGAAUUAAUUAAAAAUAAAAAUAAAUAAAAUAAAAUAAAAUGGGACUACAUCAAAAAGCCUCCAGGGCCGGGGAUUUAGCUCAGUGGCACCAUGGCCGGCCUCAAAAGCCCAAGGUCCUGAGUUCAAUGUCCAGUACCAAAAAAAAGCUUCCACACAGCAAAGGAAAAAAUAAAGAGACAGCCUGCAAAAUGGGAGAAAAUCUUUGCUAGCUACUUUUCUGAUAGAUUAAUAUCUAUAUAGUAUAUAACUCAAAAAGAUUACCCCCCCC